RNAcentral lists this long non-coding RNA (1043 nucleotides) under Fukomys damarensis (Damara mole-rat). Its description in RNAcentral is "lncRNA (ENSFDAG00000029981.1)". Lineage: Eukaryota; Metazoa; Chordata; Mammalia; Rodentia; Bathyergidae. The record is from RNAcentral.
CUGAGUUCUAACAGUUGCUAAGUAACUCUCAAAAAAAGUUGCUAGGUAACUCAAAGAAGAAAAAAAAAAAACAAGAAGAAGAAAAAGAAGACUGGGGCCUUUCCCUCUCCUCUCCAAGCCAAUUCUGAUCCCAAAGGGAUGUCUGUUAAAACUCCACUGAAGGCUUAUCCGUGUCUAAAACCUCCCUUGUGAUUCCACCGUAUCCACCGAGAUUAAGCAUAUCCCAGGAAAUGAAAAAAAGGGGAGUCCCACAAGCCAGAGAAUUGACUUUGUAAGGACAAGAGACAUACGGGACAAGAAAAGGCCAGAGGCCUGCUUACUCUACAUCUGUGAACCUCUUCAGACAAGAACUCUGAGUGGAGAUCCUCAAGGGACGGAUCCUUGGGCCACCGAGAAAGGAAAGGGGACGGCUGUGAGGGAGAGCCUGUUAUGUACCUGGCAACAAGCUCAGAAACUGCAGCUCGGAAAUAGGGAGUUGAUCAGGACCACCUGCCCAGAGGACCUAGACGCUGAAGAGGGACCCAUCUGCCUGACAGGAUCUUCCCAGCCCUCUCUGCUGAGGCCGCCGUCUCCCUGGGGCUGUCUCCACCGCAUGGCAGGCGUGGCCACUCACCCAGCAGAACCUCAGUACAAAUCCAGACUGCUGAGACAAAGGUGCAAGCUGGAACAAGCCAUGAAUCCCUCUCCCUCGUUCAAUGCCGAGGAUUUAACAUUACCUAUGGCAGUGAUUCUCACACUGUCUGGUCCCAGGGCCCCCUUUACACUCAUAAAAAUUACUGAGGACCCCAAAGAGCUUUUGUUUAUGCAAGCUACAUCUAUUAAUACUUACCAUAUCAGAAACUAAAACUGAGAAAUCCCUAACAUAUUUAUUUCUUAAUUAAUCUUUAAAGUGACAAGAGUAAGUGCGUACCUGUUAACAUAAAUAAUCUAUUUUUAUGCAAAAUAGCUAUCUUGAGAACAUAGGAAAGUAGUGAGAGUGGCGCUGUUUUUUUAUUUUUAUUUUAAUGUAAUACAAGUAAAUAUUAAUAGAGAAAAUAUAAAAG